AGCGGCGGAUGGGUGAGCAACACGUGGGGAACCUGCCCCUAAGUCUGGGAUACCAUUUGGAAACAGGUGCUAAUACCGGAUAAUAAAGCAGAUCGCAUGAUCAGCUUUUGAAAGGCGGCGUAAGCUGUCGCUAAGGGAUGGCCCCGCGGUGCAUUAGCUAGUUGGUAAGGUAACGGCUUACCAAGGCGACGAUGCAUAGCCGAGUUGAGAGACUGAUCGGCCACAUUGGGACUGAGACACGGCCCAAACUCCUACGGGAGGCAGCAGUAGGGAAUCUUCCACAAUGGACGCAAGUCUGAUGGAGCAACGCCGCGUGAGUGAAGAAGGUUUUCGGAUCGUAAAGCUCUGUUGUUGGUGAAGAAGGAUAGAGGUAGUAACUGGCCUUUAUUUGACGGUAAUCAACCAGAAAGUCACGGCUAACUACGUGCCAGCAGCCGCGGUAAUACGUAGGUGGCAAGCGUUGUCCGGAUUUAUUGGGCGUAAAGCGAGCGCAGGCGGAAAAAUAAGUCUAAUGUGAAAGCCCUCGGCUUAACCGAGGAACUGCAUCGGAAACUGUUUUUCUUGUGUGCAGAAGAGGAGAGUGGAACUCCAUGUGUAGCGGUGGAAUGCGUAGAUAUAUGGAAGAACACCAGUGGCGAACGCGGCUCUCUGGUCUGCAACUGACGCUGAGGCUCGAAAGCAUGGGUAGCGAACAGGAUUAGAUACCCUGGUAGUCCAUGCCGUAAACGAUGAGUGCUAAGU
This 741-nucleotide ribosomal RNA is filed under the name uncultured bacterium. RNAcentral's name for it is "bacterial SSU rRNA". It matches the Rfam family "Bacterial small subunit ribosomal RNA", at positions 94 to 821 of the family's 1533-position model. The record is from RNAcentral.